This 482-nucleotide ribosomal RNA is filed under the name uncultured bacterium. Its description in RNAcentral is "bacterial SSU rRNA". It matches the Rfam family "Bacterial small subunit ribosomal RNA", at positions 31 to 507 of the family's 1533-position model. The record is from RNAcentral.
AGGAGAACGCUGGCGGCGUGCUUAGCACAUGCAAGUUGAACGGGAUUCGCUCUAUGAAGUGUUAUAGCGAAUUAGAGCGAUGAGAGUAGCGGACGGGCGAGUAACGCGUGAGUAACCUGCCCUUUGCUGGGGGAUAACAUCGGGAAACCGGUGCUAAUACCGCAUAAGACCACAGUGCCACAUGGUACGGCGGUCAAAGCUCCGGCGGCAAAGGAUGGACUCGCGUCCAAUUAGCUAGUUGGUAGGGUAAUGGCCUACCAAGGCGACGAUUGGUAUCCGAACUGAGAGGUUGAUCGGACGCAUUGGGACUGAGACACCGGCCCAGACUCCUACGGGAGGCAGCAGGUGGGGAAUAUUGCGCAAGUGGGGGCAACCCUGACGCAGCAACGCCGCGUGAAGGAUGAAGGCUUUCGGGUUGUAAACUUCUUUGAUCGGGGACGAAGAUGACGGUACCCGAGGAACAAGCCACGGCUAACUACGUG